Molecule: long non-coding RNA, 723 nt
Organism: Panicum virgatum (switchgrass)
Lineage: Eukaryota; Viridiplantae; Streptophyta; Magnoliopsida; Poales; Poaceae
Exons: 2
Source: RefSeq, a predicted model, not a curated record
AUUGGAUUGGGUUGGGUUGGGUUGGGUAUUCACUGAGUGCAGUUUGUGUACGGAUCAGUGUGGAUCGAGUGAUGGGUUGAGUCCUCAGUUUCACGCAGCCGCCGCCCUCGACUCGACACCGGCCGUCUGCGCCGGCCGCCCUCCUCGCCGGCAGGCCGCACCGGCCGGCCUACCCGACGUUCGCGCUCCGCGCCGGCCACCCUAUCCGCCAUCCGUGACGGCCUCCCUUCGUGCCGGCCGCCCUACCCGCCGUCCGCGCCGGCCGCCCUCCGCCAAGCACAACACCAAGGACGACUGUUGGCUCAUCAUCGCUGGCAAGAACCCAGCGAAGAAUAAAGUGAUCAACUGUGAUGCUGCACUCAAAAGCUUGUUUGGUGGGAGGGACAAGGUUGGGAUGCUGGAGAUCCCAAAGCUACUGAACCCUAACUUCAUGAAGAACUAACAGAAGCAACAGAUGGCACCAACGAUGGAGCUUUCGUCUAAGACUUUAUUGAAUGGCCUCUUUUGUGAUCCAGUAGGUAGUUAAGCCAAAGUUGUGUGAUGGCGUCAAGAAUUCGUAUUUGUGUUCACCUGUUGGGUUUGGGGCGUGAUGCAUGUAAAAAGGAUUCCCAGUGUUAUCGCUACUCUUGUGAUGUGGGAAAUGUUAGUCUGCUGAUGGCACAUCUUAAUCGAAUGUUUAUGCCUGUCUUAUUGCAGUGAAAAUGUGAAAUGAUUUGUGAUCAA